UACGUAGGGGGUAAGCGUUGUCCGGAUUGACUGGGCGUAAAGGGAGCGUAGGCGGUUUGGUAAGUCAAAUGUGAAAGCCCGCAGCUUAACUGUGGAACUGCAUUUGAUACUGCUAGACUUGAGUUCAGGAGAGGUAAGUAGAAUUCCUAGUGUAGCGGUGGAAUGCGUAGAUAUUAGGAGGAAUACCAGUGGCGAAGGCGGCUUGCUGGAAUGACACUGACGCUGAGGCUCGAGAGCGUGGGAAGCAAAC
Molecule: ribosomal RNA, 250 nt
Filed under: uncultured prokaryote
Description: partial 16S ribosomal RNA
Rfam family: Bacterial small subunit ribosomal RNA
Source: RNAcentral